GUGGGGAAUCUUGCGCAAUGGGCGAAAGCCUGACGCAGCGACGCCGCGUGAGUGAUGAAGGCCUUCGGGUUGUAAAGCUCUGUGGAGAGGGACGAAUAAGGGUUGGCUAACAUCCAACCUGAUGACGGUACCUUUUUAGCAAGCACCGGCUAACUCUGUGCCAGCAGCCGCGGUAAGACAGAGGGUGCAAACGUUGUUCGGAAUUACUGGGCGUAAAGCGCGUGUAGGCUGCUCGGAAAGUCGGAUGUGAAAGCCCUGGGCUCAACCUAGGAAGUGCAUUCGAAACUUCCGAGCUGGAGUGCUGGAGAGGAAGGCGGAAUUCUCGGUGUAGAGGUGAAAUUCGUAGAUAUCGAGAGGAACAUCGGUGGCGAAGGCGGCCUUCUGGACAGCGACUGACGCUGAGACGCGAAAGCGUGGGGAGCAAACAGGAUUAGAUACCCCAGUAGUCC
This 449-nucleotide ribosomal RNA is filed under the name uncultured bacterium. RNAcentral's name for it is "bacterial SSU rRNA". It matches the Rfam family "Bacterial small subunit ribosomal RNA", at positions 354 to 796 of the family's 1533-position model. The record is from RNAcentral.